CAAAAAAUGAAAACAUUUAAAAUACAUUGAACAUUUUAACAGACGAUUUGCGCCUAUCCCCUUAAGUUAGCUGUUGUUUUUAUUAUAAAAAAUCCCAAAUAUAUCCCAAAAAUCCUUAUGUAUAUUUUAGUUUUUGAUUUAGUAGAUUUUAGCUAAAAAAAUGGUAAUUACCAGUUGGUGGUUUGGAAUAAUUAGGUUUCCAAUUUUGUGGAAUUCCUCUUGGGACAUUGAGGACGGAUGUGCAUAUCACUGUAUUACUGUAUAUUUACAUGGCCUAAAAAGAAUCUACUGAUUUUGUGAAAACAAAACUACUGAAAGAGUAAAAACUGACCUGGCAACCCUGUCUACGAAAGCUGAUACAAAGAUUUUAUCAAAUCUCAAAUCUACAGAUAAAACAAUGGAAUGGAAACCAGCUAUUAAAAAAACAAAUAAACAGGUUGUUAAAUAAAUCGAAAAUUUCCAUCAAAAUAAAAUAUAUAAUAAUAAGAAAAAAAUAAGGUUAUAAAGUAAAUUCUUUUUCUCCUCUGGAAAUUGCCGCAAACGUAUCACACCUCUAGAACAACACAGGGUCGUGACGUGACAGACAACUCUAACUCUACUCAACUACAGAGUAAAUUAGUUUAGCAUUAUAACAUUUAUUUUUAAGUCGUUGCGAUUGUUGAAAAAACUGAACUGUGAUAUGUAGUUGUCACAAUGGUAAUAAAUUAGUUGCCCGUAUAACUUAAGGUUGUAACAUCGUAAUGUCAAUCGGGGUAGGGGACGUUAUUUAGACGGCCAAAAGUCAUUUUUAAAAAGUCGAAAUAACGGUAAGCUAUCAACCGUUCCGGUGAGCCAACAGUUGCAGCUACGAUAUAUCAUCCCCUCCACUCACGACCGAAGCGCAGGAGUUGGCCUGCGGUCAUUCGAAUUCGACAGUGAACGAGUGUGUAUAUAGGCGCAGUCUCUCUUAUCGAUUGUCGCAUGCGUUUGACGCAAGCAACAGUCGCAAGCAAUGGCACCUAUGUACGCCGUUGCUCCCGCCUGGCGGCGCUAGUGUAGUUGGAGGUCAAAAUUUUGACUAUUCGCGAAGUGUAUAUAUGGUGUUUUUGAUUACGAUUUAAUAAAUAAUAAAUUAUUGCCGAAAUAUACGGAUCUUGGAGAAUGUUUGUGCGUUGAAAAACAAAUUGAGAAGGGAUGCGAGAGUUACUGGAAAAAGGAAACACUUAUCGAAUGAUAAACUAUAUUAUUCAUCGUCUCAAUGUUUUAUUUCUAUAGCUCAGAGGGUAUUUAUCUGGUAUUGAUUAACUCCCCACACGAGUCUGACAACUGUGUAUAAUAUGAUAUGUGCGAUCUGCCUUACUUUUUUUUAUCAAUUUAAAAUUCACAAUUAAGUGCGCUCAGCAUUAAUUUUUGUGUUUAUCUUAUUUAAAAAUGUAAUAUUUUUAAAAUAUGGCUGCCAUGACAGUUGCGCAUUUGGUGUAAAUUUGGUUUAAGCAUGGGGUGAGCGCAGUUGAUUCUGCAAUGUUGUCUUAUUUAAAAAAAAUUAUAACUCCUUAUGGAAAUAUAGAAUGAGUUAAUUUAAUUAAGUAUAAUUAUUUAGGUGUUUGUCUACGUGAAAGGCGACCUUAAAUUUAAGGUGAAAUUAGAAAAAAUGAGGGUUAGGUUUGAUCAGGUUAUGUUUUAGUCACUAAAGAAUAUUUGAAUGGUACUAGGUCACUUUAAUUUUCAGUUAUUAACUUAUUUAUAUUAUUUUCGAUUAGGUUAGCUUUGCUCAGGUUAUGUUUUAGUCAUUUUAAAGAAUAUUUUAAAGAUAAUAUAUCACUAAAAUGUUCAGUUAUUAACUUUUUUAUAUUAUUUUCGAUGGCGCUAGGUUAGGUUUGGCCAGGUUAUGUUUUAGUCACUAAAAAAUAUUGAGAACUUGAGAAAUAUUUAAAAUUAGUAUUUCAAAAUUUUCUAUAUUAUUACUUCAUAUAUAAAUUUUUUUACAUGUUCACUCCAUAAAAAGUGAUUGUAGAUGUGGCAACAGUGUGAAUGUAUAUAAAAUUGCAUAUCUUAAUCCGUGCGUUUAUAAUAAAUUUUGAUCUGAAUUUUAUAGUGCUAUAUUCUAUUUUUUACAGUCGAAUCUGGGGGCAAUACUUAAAAUCUGUUUCAACAAAAUGUUUAUUGCAGAUACGUGCAUUUAUUCUCGGCACAUAUUUAUCCCUUCUUAUUGCUACAAUCCACUUUUUUCUCAUCAGAAUAUCUUUGGGAAACUCGUGUCCUGAUGUUCUCGAUGAGCACAAAUGCACAGCACAACAUUGAGGGAUUUUAUUUUCUUAAGUUUAAUUCACACAGCGAAACAAAUAUGCAAUAUUUACUUGGAAAUAGAUUGAUUUGAAGUAUUGAUGUAAGUUGACAUGACCUCCAACUACACGAGCGCCACCUACGUUGAGCUUUCCAGAUUAGCUGCCAUUGGUCGCGUUCACCAGAAUAAUCCGAGUGCAAUCCGAUUAAUUUGCGCUGAAACGCUGACAGUUUUUUUACUAGUGAACGACUGACGUUUGACAUUCGAUUGAGAGUGUUCUGUGUUCCAUUUGUUUAUGUUGUUAUUCUUUGUUUAUAUAAUUUAUAACCUAAACCUAGACAGUUUUGUUUUUAUUUUAAAUAAAACUGAAACUGUCUAAACUAAAAUGGAUAAUAUUCUUGAAGAACUUUUGUUUGGGGACGAAAUUAGCAAAUGCCGUUAUACAUUUAGCAGAUGUACCUACCUCAAAUUAUUCCAGAAGGAUGAGAUGAAAUUAAAUAUAUAUAAACCAUAAUUCAAUAUCCAAUUUAGAGAACAUUUUCAUAUGUCCAGAACUACUUUCCAGGAACUAUUUAAUUGUAUUGGUCAUAUCCACCAAUUUGAAAACAGAAUAAUUCUAUUGGAAAAAAUUAAUGUUUAUGAUGUGGAUGCUAAGUAAACCAGAGAAUUUGUUGCUGGGGAUACGUUUGGUUUGCCAAAGAGCUCUGGACAUAAGAUUUUCACCCAAAUAAUAUAGAAUUACAAAAAAUUGGAAAUAACUAAUCUUGAAUAUCAAUGUGUAUAUUGAGUUUAAUUUUAUUGUAAAUAUUCUAUAAUAUAAUUUUAUUGUAAAUAUUGUAUUAACACAUUUGUGGACACAUCUUCAUAUGCAGACAGUAAUUUCCCUUUGUAAGUACAUGCAUAUUAGUCGUAUCUGCGAAUGGGUUAAUUGUAAAUCGUAAUCAAUAAAAAUUUUUUGUGAAUCAAUAAAAAACUGGUUUGUUUGAAAAUAAAUGUAGUACAAAUGUG
Molecule: long non-coding RNA, 3271 nt
Filed under: Diabrotica virgifera virgifera (western corn rootworm)
Lineage: Eukaryota; Metazoa; Arthropoda; Insecta; Coleoptera; Chrysomelidae
Description: uncharacterized LOC126882345
Source: RNAcentral